Non-coding RNA from Caenorhabditis briggsae, 45 nucleotides. NCBI's taxonomy places the organism in Eukaryota, Metazoa, Nematoda, Chromadorea, Rhabditida, Rhabditidae. The record is from Rfam.
CCAACGGCCCUCUUUAGGGCCACAACUAUUACAAAAAUCCAUCUG